Molecule: ribosomal RNA, 388 nt
Filed under: uncultured bacterium
Lineage: Bacteria
Description: bacterial SSU rRNA
Rfam family: Bacterial small subunit ribosomal RNA
Source: RNAcentral
GACGAACGCUGGCGGCGUGCUUAACACAUGCAAGUCGAGCGGUAAGGCCCUUUCGGGGGUACACGAGCGGCGAACGGGUGAGUAACACGUGGGUGACCUGCCCUCAGCUCUGGGAUAAGCCUGGGAAACUGGGUCUAAUACUGGAUAUGACUCCACGGUGCAUGUCGUGGGGUGGAAAGCCUUGUGCGGCUGAGGAUGGGCCCGCGGCCUAUCAGCUUGUUGGUGGGGUGANGGCCUACCAAGGCGACGACGGGUAGCCGGCCUGAGAGGGCGACCGGCCACACUGGGACUGAGGCACGGCCCAGACUCCUACGGGAGGCAGCAGUGGGGAAUCUUGCGCAAUGGGCGAAAGCCUGACGCAGCGACGCCGCGUGAGGGAUGACGGCCU